ACUCCUACGGGAGGCAGCAGUGGGGAAUAUUGGACAAUGGGGGAACCCGUCGAUCCAGCCAUGCCGCCGUGUGUGAAGAAGGCCUUAUGGUUGUAAAGACACUUUAAGUCGAGGAGGAGGCUACUGAGACUAAUACUCUUGGAUAGUGGACGUUACUCGCAGAAUAAGCACCGGCUAACUCUGUGCCAGCAGCCGCGGUAAUACAGAGGGUGCGAGCGUUAAUCGGAUUUACUGGGCGUAAAGCGUGCGUAGGCGGCUUUUAAGUCGGAUGUGAAAUCCCCCGAGCUUAACUUGGGAAUUGCAUUCGAUACUGGGGAAGCUAGAGUAUGGGAGAGGAUGGUAGAAUUCCAGGUGUAGCGGUG
This 362-nucleotide ribosomal RNA is filed under the name uncultured bacterium. Its description in RNAcentral is "bacterial SSU rRNA". It matches the Rfam family "Bacterial small subunit ribosomal RNA", at positions 335 to 683 of the family's 1533-position model. The record is from RNAcentral.